This 201-nucleotide long non-coding RNA is filed under the name Elaeis guineensis (African oil palm). RNAcentral's name for it is "long non-coding RNA (EGUI_LNC078247)". Lineage: Eukaryota; Viridiplantae; Streptophyta; Magnoliopsida; Arecales; Arecaceae. The record is from RNAcentral.
UCGGAGUAUUUCCAGCAAGUUCAGUGAUUCUCUCCUACUGAGAUGUGCCGCUAUUCAGUUGGGGAGUGUUAUCACCAAGUGGAUUUGAUAUCCCUCCUACAGCUCUUUGAGUAUUCUUCAUUCGUCGUAGAGGCAUAUUGACCUAUGAUAAAUUAGGAUGGUAACUUAUCCUUAAUAAAGUUAUAAACUUACUUAAGGUAG